AGACACUCUCCACCCUGGAGUCCUUUCGCACCCUGCAGAAGCAGUAUUUGCAUCUGUGAGCCAGAAAUCCCUGCUUCCUCCUACCCAGUUCAGAGGAUGCUAAGACUUUCUUUCUAAAUGACUCCUUUGGUGGGGAUGGAGUUACAUUUUUAUGAGUUAGGGAUUUUUUUUUAAUGCCUUAUUGUGGUAAAUGGGAUUUUUUAAAUUCCUAAUAAGAGCUGUUUUGUGUCCUCUGCAUGGGGAGGCUGAGGAAAAGAUACACUUUCGAACCUCUGCCGCUCCCUAGUCACCUGCUUCCCAAGACAGUUCCUUAGGAUGAAAUCCCUUGUGAACUAGCUCCUCGUCCCGCUCUCCUGAGCCAGAGCAUGCAGAUGCUUUUGACUCUCCUGAGCCUGCUGGUAGCGCUGAACACCUGCCCGCCAUGCCCAAGAGUCAGAAAGAUGGUUUAAAACACCUGUUCAUACUUCUGGAAAAUAAGAAG
RNAcentral lists this long non-coding RNA (481 nucleotides) under Mus musculus (house mouse). RNAcentral describes it as "ilncRNA-EC76". Lineage: Eukaryota; Metazoa; Chordata; Mammalia; Rodentia; Muridae. The record is from RNAcentral.